AUUUUCAGAUAUUCUCAAUGAAGAGAAUGAAAGUGCUGUUUCAGCUGCUGCACCAGUGGAUGAUGCUUUAAUCAGGAUGGAACAUGUUGAUGAUAUGCCCGUUGUUGGAGAUGAUGAUAAUAUUGUAGAAGAUUUUGUGAAUGAUGAUGGUGUGGAUAUUCUUGGAACACGGAAAAGAGCCAAGAUGAG
Molecule: long non-coding RNA, 189 nt
Organism: Ostrea edulis (European flat oyster)
Lineage: Eukaryota; Metazoa; Mollusca; Bivalvia; Ostreida; Ostreidae
Exons: 2
Source: RefSeq, a predicted model, not a curated record